GCCGUUUGCCACAGCUCAGUGCAAUAGAGAGUAGUCUUUACCGUGGCCACUGAGCAGCUGAGGCACCGGGACUCAGGGAAAUCAAGCACCUGACGCGUCUCACGCGACCGCACCAAAACCAAGGAAGCCGCCGGUGCUUCCCGUCAGGCCCCGCGGAGGGAAGCACCGCCCCGCAGGCGUCGGGUCAAUCUCAGAAGGCGCGCACGGCGCGUCAGGACCCCGGAACCCGCCCCGUUGGGUGGAGGGAGAGAUGGAGAAUCCAGAAGCUCAGACCCAGAAAUGAGAUCUACGUUGACAAGGCUGGUUUUGAAUCCCUGGCCUCAAGCAGUCCUCCUACCUCAGCCUCCCAAAGUGCUGGGAUUACAAGUGUGAGCCACCAUGCUUAGAUGAUACAGGCCUUCUCAAGCACAGACGCACCUUCGCCUUCUUCAUUGUCGGUGUCCUCACCACCAUUCUUGUCUUCACUGUCAAGGUUCAAGUCAUCUGGAAGGUCCAAGGCCUCGGGUUCUGGCAGCUUUUCCUGAUUGCCAUGUGCACCACGUGAACGGUCCUUACCUUCUGGGCAAGCUCCGUAAAGACCUGGGCAAGCACAGAGAGCAGCUUUGCAGUACUACGGUGAGUUGCCAAAGACAUGGUCAGGAAGAAGAGGACGAGGUCUGAGUAGCUGGAGAGGACCGGCACCAGGCGCACCAGCAAGGAACAGGAUUGGCUGAAGAACUGAGAUCAAAACAGAACAAAAGGCCUGCUCACACUGCUUGGCAGGUAACAGAUUUCCGUUCUGGAACUAGACAGUGGUGGUAAUUGCACAACACUGUGAAUGUACUAAAUAGUACUAAUGGCAAGUUACAUGUAUGUGUUUGUAACCCCCACCCCACCCCAAUACACACAGCUCCCUGAGAUUUCUUCAUUUACAUAUAUCGUAACCAAAGUACAAUCUCAAACCAAUGUCUCAUUUGGCUAACAAUGUUGGUUUUUUAAAAAUAUAAUGUUGGCCAGGCACAGUGGCUUAUGUCUUUAAUCCCAGCAUUUUGGGUAGACUGCUUGAGCCCAGGAGUUCAAGUUCAUGUUGCGUGGGCCCUAUAGUGCCAGCUAUUUGGGAGGCUGAGGUGUGAGGAUCACCUGAGCCCAGGAGGUCAAGGCUGCAGUGAGCCAUGGUCACGCCACCACUCUCUAGCCUGGACAACAGAAUGAGACCAUGUCCCAAAAUAAAAUAAAUAAUAAAAAUAAGAUGUUUAUAAAUAAAUUCUGCUGAUUGCAGAAUUGUUAGCACUGGAGGCAAUGCUACAGAAUAACAUACAAUGUUCUGCAAAGUAAGUUGCUUCUCUGGACUUACUGCUAAGACUACAACUGCUUACUCUUCACUUACUGUAGUGGGAAUGGUGUUUACAUAGGGUGGCCGCUAAGCCUCCGUUGAUAACGUCAUCUAUCAGUAAUAUCAAAUAUUUGGGAGUGUGUAAGAUAUGAAAGAAUCCUAAUAGAUAUUCUGAAUGGUUAGCAUUUCUGCACCUAUGCAUCUAACAAUUAGCUAGCAAGCCCUAAGCUUUUCAAAGCUUGUCAAUGACUUUGCACGUAUAAAUAAAGAGAUCAAGUUCUUAGUGAUUUUGGCACUGAGGCCUGCUCUGGGACUUAUCCACGUGCAGGGAGGUGAAGCCCACUCUGCCUCUGCUCAGUGCAUUCUGAAGAGGAAGCAGUUUUGUAAAGAACAGUUAGUUACCAGGUGCUUUGCUGCUGUGCCAUCCUCACCGUACGAUUUCAGCCUCUCCAACAUUUCGGAGAUGGCAGAAAUUAUUUUCUGCACAUGCAAAGUGCUCACAUCGGCCCAGAAGUCAUCCUCUAAGAGUUUUGUUAGAUGUCCUGAUUGCAGUCUCUCAAAGCCUGCUGCCUCAUUCAGAGAAAACAACAUGAUGAAUAACAGAAAACAAAUCCUUUCAUCUCUAUCCAUGUAGUCAUCUGUUUCUAACAUCCAUCCUUAACUAUUUAGCCACAGAAAUAAAUCAUCAAAUACAAAAAUUAAAACAGGCAUGAAACUAAUUUCUGCCUGAUUUCAGACAUACCAUACUCCUCUUGUGGGCUUGCUUGGUCAGUGUUCUCCUCUGCUUUUUCAUUCUUGCUUUCUUCUAAGUUCUGGAUGGCACAGAGGAUGGCUCGGAUAGCAAUUUCCAUUUUCUCUGAAAAAUCUUCCACAAAUCCUUCGUCCAACAUUUGACUUCCUAGCAAGUAACAUGGUGUAAAACAAACAUACAAACACCAAUCAUUUGCUUUAGUGCCUCUGGAAAUCAUUAAAAACACUCAUUUCUUGAUGAGUCACUGAGUCAAGCUGUGCCAGAUACAAAGAAGAGACAAAUUCCUUGCCUCGAUAAACUUAUAAGUUUAUUACCUUGUAUUAAAAAUGUUACGAAAAUAAUGUAAAAAAUAUGAAAAUAACAGUUAAGACAGUAUGAAUAAACACUAACUUAGUCCAAAUAUCAGUGCCAAGCUUUUUCAAUCUAAGGGAAAACUGACAGUGAGCUGAUGCUGCCUUCCUAUGUGUGUUACGAAGUAUGUAACAGGCAUCCAAACAAAUGGGGCAAAAAAGUUAAGAGCUAUGGAUUUCAACCGCACCUCCCUGCCUCAGAACCCUGGACAGGUACGUGUAGCCCAAAACAGAAUGUGUCUUUAGGACAAUGAGACUUACAUCUACAAGACAUCAUUUCUACAGUGGGCUUUCAUUCCCUGACUGAACAAUAUUCCUUACCUCCUUGGCUACCUGAAGUAAGCAGAUGUGUCUUCCAGGUAGUAAAGUCAGCCAUGGCUUUACUAAUUUCUCCUCUUACAUAUUCCAGACUUUCAACUAGUGCCAUUUGUGAGUCUCUUUGCUCAACCUCCAUCCCUGGAAGAAUGAACAAGGACUCUAGGCCCUGUAAAUGAACUGACACCUGGGACAAGCAACUCAGUGCAGAAGAGCACACUUCAAAAUCUUUCCUGCAACAGAAAUGCCACAAUGUUGAAAGGAAUGCAUUACAAUUCCCACAAACACACACCCCUCCCUGCAACCACUAUAAUAUACGCAAGGUAGAACUCACCAUAGCUGAAGUUUAUAGCUAAGCAGAAGUUUACAGCUAAACACAUGCCACAGAGUGCUGUGCAGGUCCACUGAGGAACAGAGGACUGAAGCACAAUUAUUUUCAUAAUUUGAUUCUAUUACUAAACACCUAGGUUUAGUAAUGGAAUAAAUUUAGUAAUUUAUUCCAAUUAAUUUAUUCCAAUAAAUUUAUUCCAUUAAUUUAUUCCAAUAAAUGAUACAUUUAUUCCAUUAAUAAUAUUCCAUUAUCAUUAGUCUUUGGUGUGAUACGCUUUUAUUUUGGACCACCACAAGUAGCAGGAUGUGAUUUGCUCUCCCUGUGGAUUAUUUAGGGCUUUGUCCUGCAUCCUUUUGCUAACUAAAGUCUCAGAACAUGCAGAUGACACUCCCUAUCCCCACCCCACCCCAUCCCCCAAACUGAUGAAUUCCCCAGACUCCAGGACUGUCUAAAAGCUUCUGCUUUCUGUUAACACCCUUCCCCUCCCAUCCCCAAUUUGGAUAAGCACAAUAAGAACCUAAGCACACAGAGAAGUGUAAAAACAUAGACACACUUACCAAGAAUGAAAGAGAGUCUCACAAGACUGCUGCCUAAUUUUGUCGACGUCAGCUUUCACUGUUUUAAUGAUUUUUAGCAUCUCUGUUACUCUCAUAGUUGACUGUUGCCAAAGCUGAUCCUGUUUCCGCAUCCGGCAACCAGAGGGCAGCUGACUUCCAGUCUUUCAGGAGAAGUAUCACGACACAAUUACACCACUACAGUGACUUCAACUAGCAUUAUCUAGUGAAUGUGCUGUACUUUGCUACAUAAACCCUAAUGAAUGGAGGAGAAAAUACCUGAAGCUAAAGUGAACAGUCUGGAAAUACUGUCUCUCAGCCACGAAUCCAUUCAACAGAUGACGACAACCUUCCUAACUGUCCUCAUCUCUCAAUUAUCUGUUUCCAUUGAGGAGCCUCCAUGUAUGGCUCAGAUUGCCAUUUGGGGGAUCCCCAAAGCCUAAGUAACAGAGGCCAACUCAAAUCUCAUCUGUGCCCAAGACUGUCCCACCCUAAUACCAUGAACACAAGCCUAACCAUUGGCCCACAUGGACUUUCGGCAAUAUAUAUCCUCAUUCCAGACACAGGUAUAGUUCAGCCAUGACAAUUUUCACUGUCUGACACAGCCCUGAAAUCUCCACAGCUCCAUAUUCUCAGGAGGUUCAGUCAGAGCACAGAGGGAGAGGGACACUAGAAGCAUAUCACUGAAAACAAGGGGCAGAGCUGGGAGAAACCCUAUGUGCCUCUUAGGGCCUUAAAUUCAUUUCACAAUUGAGAGCAUGUCUUAUUCCUCUCCCCAUGUGCAACAACUCUGAGCUGACUUGUAUCUAAUUCUUCUGAAUUCAUGCCACAAGCCCAACUCAUCGGCUGAUACCUGAGGAUGAUCCACUGCUCACUGAGCGUGGUCAGGGAGCGCCGCUGUUGGACGAGCAUCUUCAUCAAAUGUGCUGAGAACCCUCUGCACCGCUCCACGUUGCCCAUGCCCAUUUCCUGGCAGAAGAAGGAAAAACAUACUGAAGGGGCUGCUGGCAAACACCCACAAAUGUGCCUCUAGAAAGUUGUUUCUACUAUAAGCAUCAGACAUGCCACACUCUAGAGGUGACACAUUCAUUUUUUUGAGCAGUGUUUCUCCAAUUAUGCUUGCACCAAUCAUUAAUAUUCCAUACAAAGGAACUGGAUUUAACUCCAAAAUGCAUUUAUUAGUGGUCUUUUCUCAAUUCUCAAAGGGAAGAAAGAUCUAAAGAUGGCAUUCUCAAUUUGAAGUUUUUAAUUUUUCUUAAACAUUAAGAAAAUUUGUCCUGCUGGCAAGUGUAACAGAAUUUAUUUAAGGUGUUCUCUGAUUUUGCACAAAAUUACAUUGACAUUUAUUUUAAGUUAAAGGAUGUACUGCAAAAAGCUCAGUUCCACUAACAGGCUGUUAUCACUUAACAAGGUCUGAGAAUGCGGCCCUAGGAUGAACAGAACAAGAGCUUUCCCUGAGCCCCUGCAAGACUCAUGUUCUAUCAUUCUACCUUGGCAGGAGUUGCUAGUGCUGCGUUAAGCCUGGCAUGCCGUGCAAGAGAGCGAUAAAAAUACUUCUGGCAUCCAUCCCAUGAAGACGAGAUUUCUGUAAGCAGCCUGGAAAAGAUAUCAACAUCAUUUACUUAAUUAAAACCACGCUCUCCCACCCCAGAUCCUGAAAAACUCAGAUACUGGUAUAUUUGGCCAUAACCAAGAGUCAGCUGUCUGAGGUGGUUUACUUCUAUGAGGACUCAUUCGGUGAGGCACUCAUUAGUCCUUUACUUAACUUAGCACUGGAAGUAUCAUGAGGAAAUAAAUUUUGCUGAUAAUAUGGUUUCUUCAAUGAAAUCUUCCUAUCUUGGCAGUGGAGGCUAGGGGGUCAUAAACUCUGAUGCCUACAGGGGCCAGGCAAAUAACGUAAGAGGACCGAGGACAGCCAAGCACAAAAUGAUGCAUGGCAGUGACAGCUGACCUCAAUGUGGGGAAGACACAGGGGUUGUUGAGGGUUCAAGUAAGCUGGAGAGCAUGUGUCCUUUCAAAAGGAGGAAACUACUAUUCAGCUACAACACUGCUGACCAAAUGGGAAUGCAAGCCUACUUGGCAAAUUUUCCUGAAAACCCGAAAAUCCAGAAUACUUAUGUAAAAUUUCCCUUCCACAAUAUUCUGUUGAAUUCAAAUUUAGAGCCCUAGGAGGGCCAACUGAGCAAAUAAAACACACACGUGUACUAUACCCAGUUCAUGCAAAGCAUAAUUCACAACAUCCUCUGCAGUGCUGUAAAUAGAGGUAGCUCUGCCUGUCUCAAUAGUGUAUGGACUUGCAAAUUCAAUAACAUUAGAACUUAUGAGGAGUGUAUGUAUAUACAGCAACUAAAAAUAUACCAUUUUCUAAUACAUUUCCACACGUAUAAUCAAAUGAAGUGAGUAGACCUCAGGAAAAUCAAGACAAAAAAAAAAAAAAAGAAGAAGAAUGGAGAGGUGAA
Molecule: long non-coding RNA, 6072 nt
Organism: Piliocolobus tephrosceles (Ugandan red Colobus)
Lineage: Eukaryota; Metazoa; Chordata; Mammalia; Primates; Cercopithecidae
Exons: 5
Source: RefSeq, a predicted model, not a curated record